UUUCGCUGACGAGUGGCGGACGGGUGAGUAAUGUCUGGGAAACUGCCUGAUGGAGGGGGAUAACUACUGGAAACGGUAGCUAAUACCGCAUAACGUCGCAAGACCAAAGAGGGGGACCUUCGGGCCUCUUGCCAUCGGAUGUGCCCAGAUGGGAUUAGCUUGUUGGUGGGGUAACGGCUCACCAAGGCGACGAUCCCUAGCUGGUCUGAGAGGAUGACCAGCCACACUGGAACUGAGACACGGUCCAGACUCCUACGGGAGGCAGCAGUGGGGAAUAUUGCACAAUGGGCGCAAGCCUGAUGCAGCCAUGCCGCGUGUAUGAAGAAGGCCUUCGGGUUGUAAAGUACUUUCAGCGGGGAGGAAGGGAGUAAAGUUAAUACCUUUGCUCAUUGACGUUACCCGCAGAAGAAGCACCGGGCUAACUCCGUGCCAGCAGCCGCGGUAAUACGGAGGGUGCAAGCGUUAAUCGGAAUUACUGGGCGUAAAGCGCACGCAGGCGGUUUGUUAAGUCAGAUGUGAAAUCCCCGGGCUCAACCUGGGAACUGCAUCUGAUACUGGCAAGCUUGAGUCUCGUAGAGGGGGGUAGAAUUCCAGGUGUAGCGGUGAAAUGCGUAGAGAUCAGGAGGGUUGCCGGUGGCGCGGGCGGCCCCCUGGACGAAGACUGACGCUCAGGUGAGAAAGCGUGGGGGAGCAAACCAGGAUUAGAUACCCUGGGUAGUCCCCGCCGUAAACGAUGUCGACUUGGAGGUUGUGCCCUUGAGGCGUGGCUUCCGGAGCUAACGCGUUAAGUCGACCGCCUGGGGAGUACGGCCGCAAGGUUAAAACUCAAAUGAAUUGACGGGGGCCCGCACAAGCGGUGGAGCAUGUGGUUUAAUUCGAUGCAACGCGAAGAACCUUACCUGGUCUUGACAUCCACGGAAGUUUUCAGAGAUGAGAAUGUGCCUUCGGGAACCGUGAGACAGGUGCUGCAUGGCUGUCGUCAGCUCGUGUUGUGAAAUGUUGGGUUAAGUCCCGCAACGAGCGCAACCCUUAUCCUUUGUUGCCAGCGGUCCGGCCGGGAACUCAAAGGAGACUGCCAGUGAUAAACUGGAGGAAGGUGGGGAUGACGUCAAGUCAUCAUGGCCCUUACGACCAGGGCUACACACGUGCUACAAUGGCGCAUACAAAGAGAAGCGACCUCGCGAGAGCAAGCGGACCUCAUAAAGUGCGUCGUAGUCCGGAUUGGAGUCUGCAACUCGACUCCAUGAAGUCGGAAUCGCUAGUAAUCGUGGAUCAGAAUGCCACGGUGAAUACGUUCCCGGGCCUUGCACUCACCGCCCGUCA
RNAcentral lists this ribosomal RNA (1323 nucleotides) under uncultured bacterium. RNAcentral's name for it is "bacterial SSU rRNA". It matches the Rfam family "Bacterial small subunit ribosomal RNA", at positions 83 to 1399 of the family's 1533-position model. The record is from RNAcentral.